CCUACGGGAGGCAGCAGUGGGGAAUUUUGCGCAAUGGGCGAAAGCCUGACGCAGCAACGCCGCGUGCGGGAUGAAGGCCUUCGGGUUGUAAACCGCUUUCAGCAGGGAUGAAAUUGACAGUACCUGCAGAAGAAGCCCCGGCUAACUACGUGCCAGCAGCCGCGGUAAUACGUAGGGGGCAAGCGUUAUCCGGAUUCAUUGGGCGUAAAGAGCGCGUAGGCGGCUUGUUAAGUCAGAUGUGAAAACCGGGGGCUCAACCCGCGGCCUGCAUCUGAAACUGGCAGGCUUGAGUCUGGUAGAGGAAAGUGGAAUUCCCAGUGUAGCGGUGAAAUGCGCAGAUAUUGGGAGGAACACCAGUGGCGAAGGCGGCUUUCUGGGCCACGACUGACGCUGAGGCGCGAAAGCUAGGGGAGCGAACAGGAUUAGAUACCCUGGUAGUC
Molecule: ribosomal RNA, 440 nt
Filed under: uncultured bacterium
Lineage: Bacteria
Description: bacterial SSU rRNA
Rfam family: Bacterial small subunit ribosomal RNA
Source: RNAcentral